AGAGUUUGAUCCUGGCUCAGGAUGAACGCUAGCGGCAGGCUUAAUACAUGCAAGUCGAACGGGAUUCGGGGUAGCAAUACUUUGAUGAGAGUGGCGCACGGGUGCGUAACGCGUAUGCAACCUACCUUUAACAGGGGAAUAGCCCCGAGAAAUCGGGAUUAAUACUCCGUAACAUUGCGGUGUGGCAUCACACUGCAAUUAAAGAUUUAUCGGUUAAAGAUGGGCAUGCGUGACAUUAGCUAGUUGGUGAGGUAACGGCUCACCAAGGCAACGAUGUCUAGGGGUCCUGAGAGGGUUAUCCCCCACACUGGUACUGAGACACGGACCAGACUCCUACGGGAGGCAGCAGUAAGGAAUAUUGGUCAAUGGGCGCAAGCCUGAACCAGCCAUGCCGCGUGCAGGAAGACGGCCCUAUGGGUUGUAAACUGCUUUUAUCAGGGAAUAAACCCCCGCUCGUGAGCGGGGCUGAAGGUACCUGAAGAAUAAGCAUCGGCUAACUCCGUGCCAGCAGCCGCGGUAAUACGGAGGAUGCAAGCGUUAUCCGGAUUCAUUGGGUUUAAAGGGUGCGCAGGCGGAUUGGUAAGUCAGGGGUGAAAUCCCACAGCUCAACUGUGGAACUGCCUUUGAUACUGUCAGUCUAGAGUAUAGUUGAAGUUGGCGGAAUGUGUCAUGUAGCGGUGAAAUGCUUAGAUAUGACACAGGAACACCGAUCGCGAAGGCAGCUAGCUAAGCUAUAACUGACGCUCAUGCACGGAAAGCGUGGGGAUCAAACAGGAUUAGAUACCCUGGUA
RNAcentral lists this ribosomal RNA (791 nucleotides) under uncultured Lentimicrobium sp. RNAcentral describes it as "bacterial SSU rRNA". It matches the Rfam family "Bacterial small subunit ribosomal RNA", at positions 8 to 792 of the family's 1533-position model. Lineage: Bacteria; Pseudomonadati; Bacteroidota; Bacteroidia; Bacteroidales; Lentimicrobiaceae. The record is from RNAcentral.